GCUGGGCCAGAACCGCGACCUCCGCAACCUUGAGCGGCAUCCGUGGAGUGCGCCUGCGCAGCUACGACCGCAGCAGGAAAGCGCCGCCGGCCAGGCCCAGCUGUGGCCGGACAGGGACUGGAAGAGAGGACGCGGUCGAGUAGGUGUGCACCAGCCCUGGCAACGAGAGCGUCUACCCCGAACUCUGCUGGCCUUGAGCUGGGGUGAAGAAUGGGGCAUGGGUGGCUACGUAAAGAUGGCCAAAGACCGGAGAAACCAUUGUGGAAUUGCCUCAGCAGCCAGCUACCCCACUGUGUGAGCUGGUGGACGGUGAUGAGGAAGGACUUGACUGGGGAUGGCGCAUGCAUGGGAGGAAUUCAUCUUCAGUCUACCAGCCCCCGCUGUGUCGGAUACACACUCGAAUCAUUGAAGAUCCGAGUGUGAUUUGAAUUCUGUGAUAUUUUCACACUGGUAAAUGUUACCUCUAUUUUAAUUACUGCUAUAAAUAGGUUUAUAUUAUUGAUUCACUUACUGACUUUGCAUUUUCGUUUUUAAAAGGAUGUAUAAAUUUUUACCUGUUUAAAUAAAAUUUAAUUUCAAAUGUAGUGGUGGGGCUUCUUUCUAUUUUUGAUGCACUGAAUUUUUGUGUAAUAAAGAACAUAAUUGGGCUCUAAGCCAU
Molecule: long non-coding RNA, 658 nt
Filed under: Homo sapiens (human)
Lineage: Eukaryota; Metazoa; Chordata; Mammalia; Primates; Hominidae
Description: long non-coding RNA NONHSAT132868.2
Source: RNAcentral